GAAAACCAACAGUAUUUUGUAUUUGUUGUUGUUUCCUCCUCUCCCUUUCCACCAUGAACAACUACACUAAUUCUUCUCAUGGCUGUGAUCAAGUAGCUUUAAACGAUUUACUUAUGAGAGGAGAGCUUCUUCAACCUCAGAUUUACAAGAGCAUAAGGAAACAUAAUGUGGAAAUUCAUAGGAUAUACAUCAGGAGUGUGAUAUAAUUGGUUACAUGGCAUUUUCAUCCCCUGUUCCUCCAAUCACCUAAGAUUUUUCUUAUGAUGAUAGACUGGAGAAACUUUGAGCUUUGCAAGGUUUCUUCUUAUACUCGGUCUCGCCAGACUCCUGCCUUCCCAUCUAUUUCAUUUCUCAGUCAGUGCCAGAUAUUAGAAAGAAAUUUUAAAAGACUGAGGAGGAUCCCCAAACUCCCCUACAGGAAUUGGUGAAAAUGGAUUUUAAAGUUUUUAAUGCUUGAGAAUGACAGCUGAGUCAACCCAAGAGACAAAGCUGUAAUGGAAUACUUUCCAAGCCCAAGCCUUUGCAGCUUCUCUGAGGACACCACGGGCCCCACAAGGGGUAGAAGGGAAGUCAGCCAUGAGGCUCCAUCCUGCUGGAGCUCAGCCCAAGUCAACCCACCAAAAACUUGCUUCAAAUGAGACGAGCAGGGCCACAGCCACCCAGGAGGCCAUGCCCUGUCUGCUGAUAGCCUGGGCACUGGAAAUCCGAAUGCCCCUGUGCAGGCUCGUCCUCUAAGCCAUGCCUUGGAGGUCCAGCCUCACCAGCACUGGCAACUGAGAAUUCCUAAGCCUGGCGGAGAACUGACACAGCCUAGACCUGCUGAAUCCACUGCCCUCUCCAAGCCUAGGGUGACGCUGCGGGUAACAGAAACUUGCCUUCAUUGCUGCCUCAAGAAACAGAUGCCUGAGAUCUCCAGGAUGACAAUUGACUGGAUGCUCCUCCCCUCACACCUCCUGCUGUACGUGAGCCCAGCAACUCCCAACUCCUCUUUCCUAUGUCACUCCAUGCCCAAAGGAAGUAAUUAGACUUGAGCCAGCACCUCUAUACCCAAAGAAUCUGGAAUAUUUGGGUGGGAGCUCUACCUCAGGCCCUGGCACCCUGGCUUCCCUAUACCCAAGAGUCUGGAAUGUUUGGAAGGAGUCUGGUGGAAGAUCCAUCUUAACUCUCCUCCCCUAUCUCUUUCCCCAAACCUGCUCCUUCAAAGCCUACCAAACACAGUUCCUCUCCAAAUCCACCCCUUCAAAGCCUGCCAAACACAGCUCCUCCCCCAGAGCUGCAUCCCCAAAAACAGACAUGUGCUUCUUCCAGUCUCCCAUCCCUG
Peromyscus eremicus (cactus mouse) is the source of this 1321-nucleotide long non-coding RNA. RefSeq lists it as uncharacterized. The transcript has 3 exons. The record is from RefSeq and is a predicted model, not a curated record. Lineage: Eukaryota; Metazoa; Chordata; Mammalia; Rodentia; Cricetidae.